Cyprinus carpio carpio is the source of this 4370-nucleotide long non-coding RNA. The record is from Ensembl. NCBI's taxonomy places the organism in Eukaryota, Metazoa, Chordata, Actinopteri, Cypriniformes, Cyprinidae.
AUGUCCAACCCAUCUUCCUGGAUUUGCAGCCGAUUCCAGAUGAUAACCAGACCUACCUUGGUCCCCUGUUGUGAUCCUCCCAUUGAUCACCCGUCAUUCAGUCAUUCCGUGACAUCUGCUCUACAUACCAGCAGGUGCCAUCAGAUCCUGGAUGAGCCCCCAAAAUCUGUAAGACACCUGUAUCUUGCUGGCAGUAUUGGAGUUAAAAACCUAGGUAAGAGAGUUAACAAAACUGUCAAAUUUGUGAUGUGUUAAUGGCUUUAUCAAAAUAACUAUGAUGUCUUGUACAACUUUCAUGAAUAUCUUUGUAACACAGUUCAUGGUUCGGGAAGAAGGAGGCGGGAACCGGCAAACAUUUAAACAAAACUUUAAUAAUAAAAUAAACACAAAAUAGCACAACAGCCCCUCACAGACGACUGUUGCGCACAAACAGAACCAAAACACAUAAAAAAAAAAAAUCCAGGCUUGGUCCUCUCUCGUCUUGCACUGUAGUCACUACUCCUUUUACCCUUCCAGAGCUCCUCUGUGGGACUCGAGACCAGUGAGUGGCACAGAUGUCAUGCAUUAUCACUUACACCACCGGCCUCGCUCCGUUUCCAUGGCUCUCAGCCCCACCCAUCUCGUCACAAUCUCUAUUCAGCAUUCUUGAAUACCCUUAUCCUUACUUUGAUUCAGCAAUAUAAAUAAGCCAUAUUUACUGCAUAACCAAAUACUUGUUUUGGAUCUUUUGUUUUGCUUUCUCUUCUUUAUUAUUUUGAUCAAUUUUAUACUUAGUCUACUAACAUUACACUAACAUUCUGUUUCUGUAUGGUACAUGAGAAUGUUAUUAAGUAAUAUACCAUUCUUUUGAACUAAAUACUUGAGCUAGCCCAGAGUAAUACAAUAUAAACACUUAAAUGCAGUAUAGCAAAAUAUUUAACCAAUACUGUAAUCAUCCACAGAACUACAUCAUUAGCACACAAACAGUAAUACAUUUGUUCCUGUGAUCAACACCUCGUUUGUAAACUUAAAUACAAUGUCAUAAUAUAAGUAUGGGAUUUCUGUGUGCUGGAACAUGUAUUUUAUGCUUAAAGUUAACUUCAAAAACACCCGGGCCAUUAGUGGCCUUCCUGUGAAUGAUGCACCAUUUUGAUGAGAGAACACAAUCUAAAUCAAAUGUAUUAAUUUGUUCAUAAAAGUACAGUACACCAUUCAAAUGGUAGAUAAAUGUUACUAACAUGUUCUCUUGAAAUUAUAUGGCUACUGUAACAAGAUAUGUUCACCUAUUUAACAGAAAUAAUGAGAAGUUGUGCUAUUGCUUAAAAUGGGGCCGCUCUUGUAAUGGCGGUCAUUUUCUUGUGGCUUACCAUUACCCUUACAACUCUGAACCACACACCGUCUCCCCCUACUGUCCACUCAGGAUAUUUCAUGUCAUAAGUCCAGCAUUAAUGUACCAAUCAUUAACUAAAUCAACAAAGAGGAAACAGACAUGACAGUGGUGUAGCUCUACUGUCUGGAUCAUGCUGCUGGAAAAUACUGGCUGCCAGGCAGGCAGACUAAUGUCACACACUUCUGUGACUAUUUUCCUUGUCCUUAACAGGAAAAGACCUCCCUUUUCCACCACUGUAUGUUUUACUUCAGAUGCAGUGGUUUUUCUUUAAGCUUAAAAUUAUCCCUUUUAUCCCGGGUAAGAAAAGGUCAUGUUGUAUUUGAAAGCAUAUUGUUCCUCACCAGCCCAGUGGCAUUUAUUUGUUUCAUGUUUGAUAUGUCAUAUUCCUUUUGAGAUAAUGGCCUGUUUUUUUUUAAAUGUGAUUGGUCGAGUUGAGUCAUACUGUUGGGGAAAUGACAUAUUGCUCAAAAUUUCUCUAACUGAAAGACAACAAUAUGGUAUGUCAUCUGUUAUAGUAAUUUUUUUUGUUUUGUUUUGUUUUUUUAGUGCAGUCAGGAAACAUUGACACAUUUGUUCUUGUGUGCACUGAAACAGGUGUGUAAUGUUCCCUCAGCUACUUUAUAAAAUGCUUACAAUUGUAUUCCAUGGUACUUCAAUACAGAAUAUGUAAACUGACCAUAUGCUCAACAGCAAAAUAAAAGCAUAGCCUAUGGGAAUGCUAGUUGUUGAUCAGGCAUGUAGGAUGGGUAUUAUAUGUAUGAUAACAUCUGCUGGAGUGGAAAGGAUUUUGCAUUAUAGAGAUAAAAGGUAGACAAACGUUGAAGCAGGACUGCAGUGCACAAAGAAUCUAUUCAUGCACUGUUGUAGAGGUCUGGAAAAUCCCAGGUCACAUUCAGCCCUGGAGUGUGGCCUUGAGUGGCCCUCAGCACAUUCAAAGAAAUGUGUCAAAACAAACAGGCUGCCAAACUGUCAAAGUGGUCAACAAAAAUAAAUUAGACCUUUUUGGGGGGGGGGGGGGGGGUGUACAGAGAGUAAUCUCACUAAAUUAAAAUCUGGCUGCAUAAAUACUUCUAGGUAAGUUGCUAAGUUAAGUUGAAGGGAUACUCCACCCCAAAAUUAAAAUUUUGUCAUUAAUCACUUACCCCCAUGUCGUUCCAAACCCAAAAAAGCUUCAUUCAUCUUUGGAACACAAUUUAAGAUAUUUUGGAUGAAAACCGGGAGGCUUGAGACUGUCCCAUAGACUGCCGAGUAAGUAACACUGUCAAGGUCCAGGAAAGUAUGAAAAGCAUUGUCUGAACAGUCCAUCUGCCAUCAGUGAUUCAAUGGUAAUGUUAUGAAGUGACGAGAAUACUUUUUGUACACAAAGAAAACAAAAAUAACGACUUUAUUCAACAAAUCCUCUCCUCUGUGUCUCUCCAAUCCAAAUCAGUGUAGCACCAUUUUGACAAAUCUGAGCAGUACGCAGGCGGCAUACUCUCUUCUGUCUCAGCUGUGCUGUGCUGAUGCGCUGUUUUCUUUCAAACCAAAGCGUAAAUAAAAAAAAACAAAAAUCAAACAAAAUCGUAUCCUUGUGGCACAGCUGAUACAGAAGAGUGUACUGCUCAGAUUUGUCAAAAUGUCACUACGUUGAUUUGGAGAAUGAUUUGGAGAGGAAUUGUUAUUAAAUAAAGUCAUUAUUUUUGUUUUCUUCGUGUACAAAAAGUAUUCUUGUCGCGUCAUAAUGUUAUGCUCAUGUUGUGGAGUCGCUGUGUGUUUCAUUGUGAAAGCGAAACUACUUUGUUUGGCCUUCCAAAAGAGGACACGACUAGAAAUCAGUGGUUAAGUUCAACAGUCCAACCCAAAUAUUCAGAUGUGUGCUGCGCAUUUUAUGGAGGAUGAGGACUGUUUCCGGAACCAGUAGCCUGCAAUGUGUCUGUGGCACAAUGGCUGUUUCUAUAAAGUUGGGCAGUUCAUUUUGCAAGGACAGUCUGGCGCUUCUGACACAGCCUGUAAGUAAGUUUUUUUAUAUUUAAAUAAUUUGCCAAUGAUGAAGUUUUGAGCAGUAGAGUAGGCUUGCUGUUUGGUGUUUCUCAGAUCACAAAUGCAGACAUGGUUUUAUGUUUAUGCAGUGCGAUACACAACACAACACGUAAAAAGACAGUAUAAGUUAUUAUUAUAAUCAGUAAUUAUGUCCCCACUGGAUGCAACAAAUGCCUCGUUUGUAAUGUGUUUUUUUGUUUUUUUCUUGUCUUACUGUAUUUACGUUUAGCAUUAGCCGGCACUUUUAAAUUUGCCAAGAUAUUAGGCGUUCUGGCUCCCUAUAGUGGUUGGUGUCUCUAUUUUCACGUUCCGUACAAUAAAAUCACCAAUAACUAGAGCAGUUUGAUCAGGUUUUUCAGUGGGUGCGUCACUGAGUGGGGAGAACCUGUUCAAUGUUUUGAUCGGAACGGAAGAUCGGUGUUUUGACCCACAACUAUGCCCCCUCACAGUCACCCAGUUGCCCUGCUGCAGAGGCGCUGUUACCGGAACUGAACAAUGUACAGGACUCCCUGAGCCAGUCACAUCCAAAGCAGUAUCUAGAGCCCUCACAUUCUUACUGUCCUCAAUUAAAGUUUGGAUGUGUGUCUCUAAUUCUGAAAUCUUCUCUGUCAGCCUAAAUAUUUCCCUGCAUUUAUCACAUGUGAAUCCCUCGUAGCAGACAGAGAGAGAUAAACUAUACAUGUGGCAAGCGGUGCAAACAACAAUAGCAGGAGUAGCCAUUACUCACCGUGAUUGAUGAAUGGUUCUUACCACAGUUGUUUGAUGAACUUGUGAAAAAACGGAGCGAGAGAGAAAAGAAACAGAGCAAGAGAGAAAAAAAUGCUAAUGGAAAUGCUAAUGACAAGCUAACCGGCUAACGAAUGCUAAUGCCCUGCAGGUGCGCUGCACUCGCAUAUUUAGAAUAAAAGAGCUGAUGAUACUCAGCUCUAUAUUUCUUCGCGGCCUGGCGAAACAUACCAAUUUGAAAAACUAACGGAAUGCA